CCCUUAGAUGUCCGGGGCCGCACGCGCGCUACAAUGGAUGAAUCAACGCGUCAUCCUGGCCCGAAAGGGUUGGGGAACCGCUGAACCUCAUCCGUGGUUGGGAUUGGGGUUUGUAAUUAUUCCCCAUGAACUAGGAAUUCCCAGUAAGCGCGAGUCAUAAGCUCGCGUUGAUUACGUCCCUGCCCUUUGUACACACCGCCCGUCGCUACUACCGAUUGGAUGGUUCAGUGAGAUCCUCGGAUUGGUCACGGCACGGUGGCAACACUGCGUCGGUGUGCCGAGAAGACGAUCAAACUUGAUCAUCUAGAGGAAGUAAAAGUCGUAACA
RNAcentral lists this ribosomal RNA (327 nucleotides) under uncultured eukaryote. RNAcentral's name for it is "partial 18S ribosomal RNA". It matches the Rfam family "Eukaryotic small subunit ribosomal RNA", at positions 1470 to 1796 of the family's 1831-position model. The record is from RNAcentral.